RNAcentral lists this ribosomal RNA (383 nucleotides) under uncultured bacterium. RNAcentral's name for it is "bacterial SSU rRNA". It matches the Rfam family "Bacterial small subunit ribosomal RNA", at positions 28 to 412 of the family's 1533-position model. The record is from RNAcentral.
GACGAACGCUGGCGGCGUGCUUAACACAUGCAAGUCGAGCGGUAAGGCCCUUUCGGGGGUACACGAGCGGCGAACGGGUGAGUAACACGUGGGUGACCUGCCCUCAGCUCUGGGAUAAGCCCGGGAAACUGGGUCUAAUACCGGAUAUGACUCCAUGACGCAUGUUGUGGGGUGGAAAGCCUUGUGCGGCUGAGGAUGGGCCCGCGGCCUAUCAGCUUGUUGGUGGGGUGAUGGCCACCAAGGCGACGACGGGUAGCGGGUGUGAGAGCACGGCCCGCCGCAUCGGGACUGAGACACUGCCCGGACUCCUACGGGAGGCUGCAGUAACGAAUCUUCCGCAAUUGCGCGAAAGCGUGACGGAGCAAUGCCGCGUGCAGGAUGAA